Molecule: ribosomal RNA, 253 nt
Filed under: uncultured bacterium
Lineage: Bacteria
Description: partial 16S ribosomal RNA
Rfam family: Bacterial small subunit ribosomal RNA
Source: RNAcentral
UACGGAGGGUGCGAGCGUUAAUCGGAAUUACUGGGCGUAAAGCGCGCGUAGGCGGUUUGUUAAGUCAGCUGUGAAAGCCCCGGGCUCAACCUGGGAACUGCAGUUGAUACUGGCCGACUGGAGUGCGAGAGGGGGAGGUAGAAUUCCAUGUGUAGCGGUGAAAUGCGUAGAUAUAUGGAGGAAUACCGGUGGCGAAGGCGGCCUCCUGGCUCGACACUGACGCUGAGGUGCGAAAGCGUGGGGAUCAAACAGG